AUACACCGGUUCUCGUCCGAUCACCGAAGUUAAGCAACGUCGGGCGAGGUCAGUACUUGGAUGGGUGACCGCCUGGGAAC
This 80-nucleotide ribosomal RNA is filed under the name Cydia pomonella (codling moth). The record is from RNAcentral. Lineage: Eukaryota; Metazoa; Arthropoda; Insecta; Lepidoptera; Tortricidae.